AAAUUGAAGAGUUUGAUCAUGGCUCAGAUUGAACGCUGGCGGCAGGCCUAACACAUGCAAGUCGAACGGUAACAGGAAGCAGCUUGCUGCUUCGCUGACGAGUGGCGGACGGGUGAGUAAUGUCUGGGAAACUGCCUGAUGGAGGGGGAUAACUACUGGAAACGGUGGCUAAUACCGCAUAACGUCGCAAGACCAAAGAGGGGGACCUUCGGGCCUCUUGCCAUCAGAUGUGCCCAGAUGGGAUUAGCUUGUUGGUGAGGUAACGGCUCACCAAGGCGACGAUCCCUAGCUGGUCUGAGAGGAUGACCAGCCACACUGGAACUGAGACACGGUCCAGACUCCUACGGGAGGCAGCAGUGGGGAAUAUUGCACAAUGGGCGCAAGCCUGAUGCAGCCAUGCCGCGUGUAUGAAGAAGGCCUUCGGGUUGUAAAGUACUUUCAGCGGGGAGGAAGGUGUUGUGGUUAAUAACCGCAGCAAUUGACGUUACCCGCAGAAGAAGCACCGGCUAACUCCGUGCCAGCAGCCGCGGUAAUACGGAGGGUGCAAGCGUUAAUCGGAAUUACUGGGCGUAAAGCGCACGCAGGCGGUCUGUCAAGUCGGAUGUGAAAUCCCCGGGCUCAACCUGGGAACUGCAUUCGAAACUGGCAGGCUUGAGUCUUGUAGAGGGGGGUAGAAUUCCAGGUGUAGCGGUGAAAUGCGUAGAGAUCUGGAGGAAUACCGGUGGCGAAGGCGGCCCCCUGGACAAAGACUGACGCUCAGGUGCGAAAGCGUGGGGAGCAAACAGGAUUAGAUACCCUGGUAGUCCACGCCGUAAACGAUGUCUACUUGGAGGUUGUGCCCUUGAGGCGUGGCUUCCGGAGCUAACGCGUUAAGUAGACCGCCUGGGGAGUACGGCCGCAAGGUUAAAACUCAAAUGAAUUGACGGGGGCCCGCACAAGCGGUGGAGCAUGUGGUUUAAUUCGAUGCAACGCGAAGAACCUUACCUGGUCUUGACAUCCACGGAAGUUUUCAGAGAUGAGAAUGUGCCUUCGGGAACCGUGAGACAGGUGCUGCAUGGCUGUCGUCAGCUCGUGUUGUGAAAUGUUGGGUUAAGUCCCGCAACGAGCGCAACCCUUAUCCUUUGUUGCCAGCGAUUAGGUCGGGAACUCAAAGGAGACUGCCAGUGAUAAACUGGAGGAAGGUGGGGAUGACGUCAAGUCAUCAUGGCCCUUACGACCAGGGCUACACACGUGCUACAAUGGCGCAUACAAAGAGAAGCGACCUCGCGAGAGCAAGCGGACCUCAUAAAGUGCGUCGUAGUCCGGAUUGGAGUCUGCAACUCGACUCCAUGAAGUCGGAAUCGCUAGUAAUCGUGGAUCAGAAUGCCACGGUGAAUACGUUCCCGGGCCUUGUACACACCGCCCGUCACACCAUGGGAGUGGGUUGCAAAAGAAGUAGGUAGCUUAACCUUCGGGAGGGCGCUUACCACUUUGUGAUUCAUGACUGGGGUGAAGUCGUAACAAGGUAACCGUAGGGGAACCUGCGGUUGGAUCACCUCCUUACCUGAAAGAA
Molecule: ribosomal RNA, 1552 nt
Filed under: Salmonella enterica subsp. enterica serovar Bareilly
Lineage: Bacteria; Pseudomonadati; Pseudomonadota; Gammaproteobacteria; Enterobacterales; Enterobacteriaceae
Description: bacterial SSU rRNA
Rfam family: Bacterial small subunit ribosomal RNA
Source: RNAcentral